This 251-nucleotide ribosomal RNA is filed under the name uncultured bacterium. RNAcentral describes it as "partial 16S ribosomal RNA". It matches the Rfam family "Bacterial small subunit ribosomal RNA", at positions 525 to 775 of the family's 1533-position model. The record is from RNAcentral.
ACGUAGGUCACAAGCGUUGUCCGGAAUUACUGGGUGUAAAGGGAGCGCAGGCGGGAAGACAAGUUGGAAGUGAAAUCCAUGGGCUCAACCCAUGAACUGCUUUCAAAACUGUUUUUCUUGAGUAGUGCAGAGGUAGGCGGAAUUCCCGGUGUAGCGGUGGAAUGCGUAGAUAUCGGGAGGAACACCAGUGGCGAAGGCGGCCUACUGGGCAUCAACUGACGCUGAGGCUCGAAAGUGUGGGUAGCAAACAG